AGUGAACGCUGGCGGUAGGCCUAACACAUGCAAGUCGAACGGCAGCACAGUAAGAGCUUGCUCUUACGGGUGGCGAGUGGCGGACGGGUGAGGAAUACAUCGGAAUCUACUUUUUCGUGGGGGAUAACGUAGGGAAACUUACGCUAAUACCGCAUACGACCUACGGGUGAAAGCAGGGGAUCUUCGGACCUUGCGCGAUUGAAUGAGCCGAUGUCGGAUUAGCUAGUUGGCGGGGUAAAGGCCCACCAAGGCGACGAUCCGUAGCUGGUCUGAGAGGAUGAUCAGCCACACUGGAACUGAGACACGGUCCAGACUCCUACGGGAGGCAGCAGUGGGGAAUAUUGGACAAUGGGCGCAAGCCUGAUCCAGCCAUACCGCGUGGGCGAAGAAGGCCUUCGGGUUGUAAAGCCCUUUUGUCGGGAAAGAAAAGCAGCAGGUUAAUACCCCGCUGUUCUGACGGUACCCAAAGAAUAAGCACCGGCUAACUUCGUG
This 492-nucleotide ribosomal RNA is filed under the name uncultured bacterium. RNAcentral's name for it is "partial 16S ribosomal RNA". It matches the Rfam family "Bacterial small subunit ribosomal RNA", at positions 29 to 507 of the family's 1533-position model. The record is from RNAcentral.